CGCGGGGCGGGUGGAGGAGAAAAGUUUCCGGGAAGAGGGAACUUGUUGCUCUCGAAGGCGACUGCGUGGGACCGCCUGGGAGGCAGCGCUUUCCAAGGGCCCCAGAUUGGCCCUCUGGCUGCCCAGCUGCCGGACGUAUCGGGGCGCUGGCCGCUUGCCCCCCCUUCUCAAUCCUGGGGACAGAAGGAAGCAGGAGAGGGGUCUCCCCUUCCCCCCCACCUCUAGCUCACUUUCCACCACUUCCGAAUAGGAUGGACGGCAAAUUCGAGGAGAUCCGAGUGGUUCAAACUGUGUGACACCUUAAAGUGAUAUAGGUUAAUGCUGUGCCUUCUUGGUGGCAGUACCUGCCCUGUGGAACAGCUUCCCCCUGGAUUUUGAGAUGGCCCCCACCAUGUUAGCCUUUUGCAAGGCACUGAAGACUUGGCUGUUUCCCAGGCAUUUGGGUCAGGAGGUAGAUGAGCUCUGUUACUACUGAUGGAGACAAGAAAGAACUUGGAAAAAGGAAUUCCUUCUGCUUGUGCAGAACUCUCGGCCUUAAAUGGCUUGAAGAAUAAUUGAUCUGAAGUUCUGAAACGAGCCAUUCCAGUAUCACAGUUUGACAUCUUGAGCAACAUUUGUCUGUCUCCCAUUUGCAGUCCUAGAACUCCUUAAUAUUCUAUCUGGGGAACAUUGAGAAUAUUAACAUUUUCCCUAAAGUGAGUAAGGUUAAUAAAAAUGCCAUUAGAGUUUCCAUUUGCUCAUCAUAAAUAAACAAGCUGAUUUUGAUAUAAUUACAUAUUUGCUGCAUGUGUAUAUCCAUCUUCCUCUUCAUACUGGAGCGUACAACUUGUACCUACUCCAACAUUCUGGAAUGUGGCUUGAGAGCCUUUCCAAAAAGGGAGUCCACGUUGGUUUUUAAUGAGAUAAAAAACAGGAAAAGUUUUUUUUAAAAGAAGUACUAUACAUAGUAGCACAGUAGCUGUAUUGUUGUGUUUAAUGAAUUUAACUUGAAUUAAGUGUAAGUAUUGAAAUAUGUAGUUUUUGUCCUGGUUCCAUCCAUGGCCUGGUCUUAUCUCAUCUACUUUUUACAGUGGGUGCCCUAGCACUCAUCAGAAAUCAAUGCACCUAUUGGUCCAUUAAAAGUUGUGCAGCCCUUAGAGUGUAAGAAAUGUAGCCGAGGGAUGGAAAAAUAUAUGCUACAUCUGACAUUAGCACUACUGUUAAAAACUGUAUUUGUGGAGUCCUUGGUGCUCUCUGAGCUGGUUGUUU
Python bivittatus (Burmese python) is the source of this 1248-nucleotide non-coding RNA. The record is from RefSeq and is a predicted model, not a curated record. NCBI's taxonomy places the organism in Eukaryota, Metazoa, Chordata, Lepidosauria, Squamata, Pythonidae.